Molecule: ribosomal RNA, 253 nt
Filed under: uncultured bacterium
Lineage: Bacteria
Description: partial 16S ribosomal RNA
Rfam family: Bacterial small subunit ribosomal RNA
Source: RNAcentral
UACGUAGGGUGCGAGCGUUAAUCGGAAUUACUGGGCGUAAAGCGUGCGCAGGCGGUUUUGUAAGCCAGAUGUGAAAUCCCCGGGCUUAACCUGGGAAUGGCAUUUGGGACUGCAAGGCUGGAGUGUGGCAGAGGAGACUGGAAUUCCCGGUGUAGCAGUGAAAUGCGUAGAUAUCGGGAGGAAUACCGAUGGCGAAGGCAGGUCUCUGGGCUGACACUGACGCUCAUACACGAAAGCGUGGGGAGCAAACGGG